Long non-coding RNA from Pogoniulus pusillus (Red-fronted tinkerbird), 759 nucleotides. RefSeq lists it as uncharacterized. The transcript is spliced from 3 exons. The record is from RefSeq and is a predicted model, not a curated record. Lineage: Eukaryota; Metazoa; Chordata; Aves; Piciformes; Lybiidae.
UGGUAGUGGGAUGCUGCUGUCUUUACUAGAUACCUCAAAUCAAAGGCAUUCAACUUGUCUGUUGCCGGGAAAAGGAGGAAAAGAGCUGUUUAUGUUGCUGGUGUGCCCACAGCUGCCUCCAUAGGGGUAAUGCUUUGUUUAUUCUUCACCUGUUACACUGAAAAGCCUUUAUGGCAAUGCUGCUGCCACUUGUGUGGGUGUGAUGGCAUCAAGCUCUUAAAUUCACCCAGAAAAACUGAGCCCUUCCUCCUUGGCCAAGAUCACUUGUGCAGAGCAGAUGCUGCAGUGUGCACCCUCCUGGGAUCUGGAAUUAAGAGUACCCUUCGUUCCAAAGAAGCAGUGCUGACAGAGGGAAGGCUUUCCACGUGUCUCCUGUAUUAUCUCCAAGUGGUGGCUUUGAAGAGUCAGAGAGAGGUAUCUCAGAAGACCUGUGCAAAUCAAAGAUUGUUCUUCUGCUGAAUGCUGGGGAGCUUUUUCUGGGAAUCUCUUUUGGAGGCUGUGGAUUAAAGCCGAGUGGACGGACAUGGGAUCGGCAUCCAUCGCCCCACAUCAGCCCAGGUCACUGCAAGUAAGUGGCCUGACACCUCUCAGGCUAAUAGAGGAGAUAACUAAUGAAUUUAGAAGCACUUAAGAGUUUCUGCCCUGGAGAGCAGGUGGACUGGGCUGUCUCCAGGAUUUGGAUGAUCUUGGAGUGCUGAUUUAGCCCUCUCCUGGUUACCCUGAUAUUGUUCACUUAUUAAAUAUAAAUCAUAUCCAUAA